Non-coding RNA from Acanthosepion pharaonis, 109 nucleotides. The record is from the annotation of a GenBank genome assembly. Lineage: Eukaryota; Metazoa; Mollusca; Cephalopoda; Sepiida; Sepiidae.
UUACAGCCAUAUCACAUUGAAACAACAGGUCUUGUAUGAUCACUGAAGUUAAGCAAUGUUGAGCAUGGUCAGUACCUAGAUAGGUGUCUGCUUGGGAAUGCCAGGUGCU